UUCGUUUCGUGAUUUGAGGUUGUGGUGGUGUGUUCUCUCCCGCUCCUUUAAAUCUGCAUCUGAGUUCGAGCACAGACGUACCUAAUUAAAUGACAGACACCAACACCGAGAUGGAACGUUGUCAAUUGGAUGACGUUGACGAGGGAAAUUCCAAUCCCUGGCCACAGUUGCACGACAAAAAAUAGGCAACACAGUCAUCAUGAAAUGUUGUCUUUUUAUUCCCAAACACGCAACCAUCUCUGCUUUCAAAAACUCAUGAUACCUCCGCAAGCACAUAGAGCACACUGUUGGUCCAAAGCAUCCAAUCAUUAUCUGCAGACAGUUUGAAGGUGACUUGAUGUGGAAGCCCGGGUGAAUGCUUGCUAUAGCAGCUGCUCAGCUCUUCACUGCCCUUCACAUUUCACUGGUCAGCUCGCAGUAAUCAACAUGAGUUACCCACACAGGGCGUGAUCCUAAUUAACUUGCACUGCACUGUACAAACACAGUGGGCCACAUAUGUGGGCCUCCCAGCAAGAGUCAGCUGAAUAACACUACAGGGCUCGAUGGCCCAGGCCGAGGUUGCGCGGAGAUGGUCAUCUUAAGUAAGCUUGGAUCGAGGCCGGAAUGUGUGGGAAAAAUCUGCCCUUCUGUCAGUUUUGCGGUGGUUCUAGGAACAGAUGUAGCCAAUGCGAUCUGGAUGUGGCUCCAAAUAAUGGACCAGUGCACGAUCAGUGUGUGGUCAUUUUGUUUCACUGAUGUAAUCAAACAUAACGUAUUAUUAGUUCUUGCAAUUUUUUCCCCAGCUCUUUAAUUGUUUCACUGCUCACAAGGAGAAAGUCUAAUAUCCAGUACAUUUCAGGCCAAACAAGGAGGGAUGGGAGUGUAAAUUAUAUCAGUGUGAAAGUUAACCGGAAUGUACAUGGGUAAAUGAGUAGCCCAUAUUCAUUAUUCAUGAGUGUUGAUUACAUCCCAUGAAUUAAGUUCAGAGUCAUCGCUUAUCC
This is a long non-coding RNA of Esox lucius (northern pike), 980 nucleotides long. The record is from Ensembl. Lineage: Eukaryota; Metazoa; Chordata; Actinopteri; Esociformes; Esocidae.